RNAcentral lists this ribosomal RNA (424 nucleotides) under uncultured bacterium. RNAcentral's name for it is "bacterial SSU rRNA". It matches the Rfam family "Bacterial small subunit ribosomal RNA", at positions 359 to 775 of the family's 1533-position model. The record is from RNAcentral.
GAAUUUUGGACAAUGGGGGAAACCCUGAUCCAGCCAUCCCGCGUGUGCGAUGAAGGCCUUCGGGUUGUAAAGCACUUUUGGCAGGGAAGAAAAGGUUCUGGCUAAUACCCGGAACUGCUGACGGUACCUGCAGAAUAAGCACCGGCUAACUACGUGCCAGCAGCCGCGGUAAUACGUAGGGUGCAAGCGUUAAUCGGAAUUACUGGGCGUAAAGCGUGCGCAGACGGUUAUAUAAGACAGAUGUGAAAUCCCCGGGCUCAACCUGGGAACUGCAUUUGUGACUGUAUAGCUAGAGUACGGUAGAGGGUGAUGGAAUUCCGCGUGUAGCAGUGAAAUGCGUAGAUAUGCGGAGGAACACCGAUGGCGAAGGCAAUCCCCUGGACCUGUACUGACGCUCAUGCACGAAAGCGUGGGGAGCAAACAG